AGAGUUUGAUCAGUGGCUCGAGGACGAACGCUGGCGGCGUGCUUAACACAUGCAAGUCGAACGGGACUGAUUGAAAGCUUGCUUUUGAAAAGUCUAGUGGCAAACGGGUGAGUAACGCGUAGGCAACCUGCCUCUAAGAUGGGGACAACAGCCCGAAAGGGCUGCUAAUACCGAAUGUUGUAAGUAACUCGCAUGAGAGACUUACCAAAGAUGGCCUCUGCUUGCAAGCUAUCACUUAGAGAUGGGCCUGCGUCUGAUUAGCUAGUUGGUGGGGUAACGGCUCACCAAGGCGACGAUCAGUAGCCGGUCUGAGAGGAUGAACGGCCACAUUGGGACUGAGACACGGCCCAGACUCC
This 356-nucleotide ribosomal RNA is filed under the name uncultured Veillonellaceae bacterium. RNAcentral's name for it is "bacterial SSU rRNA". It matches the Rfam family "Bacterial small subunit ribosomal RNA", at positions 8 to 339 of the family's 1533-position model. Lineage: Bacteria; Bacillati; Bacillota; Negativicutes; Veillonellales; Veillonellaceae. The record is from RNAcentral.